Molecule: ribosomal RNA, 236 nt
Filed under: Genista tinctoria
Lineage: Eukaryota; Viridiplantae; Streptophyta; Magnoliopsida; Fabales; Fabaceae
Source: RNAcentral
UCGAAGCCUCACAAGCAAUGCGACCCCGUGAAUUUGUUUGACUACUCAGGGGCGGCUUGAGUGUUCCCGCACCUUGGUCCCCCUCGUGCCAGUUGGCGUCCCACCUCGUGUGGUCUCCUUCUGGCCCAAUAACAAAACCCCGGCGCCGAACGCGCCAAGGAAAUUGAAAUCGUUUAGUGCGCCCCCGUCGGCCCGGAGACGGUGCCUGGGGGGGCGUUGCGACACGCGUAUCCAAA